UACAGAGGGUGCGAGCGUUGUCCGGAAUCACUGGGCGUAAAGGGCGCGUAGGCGGCCUGAUAAGUAGGGGGUGAAAUCCUGUGGCUUAACUGCAGGGCUGCCUCCUAGACUGUUAGGCUCGAGCACGGUAGAGGCAGAUGGAAUUCCCGGUGUAGCGGUGGAAUGCGUAGAGAUCGGGAAGAACAUCGGUGGCGAAGGCGGCUUGCUGGGCGUGAUCUGACGCUGAGGCGCGAAAGCGUGGGGAGCGAACAGG
Molecule: ribosomal RNA, 253 nt
Filed under: uncultured bacterium
Lineage: Bacteria
Description: partial 16S ribosomal RNA
Rfam family: Bacterial small subunit ribosomal RNA
Source: RNAcentral